AAGAUGGGCUCAUGUCAAUUUUGUACAUGAUUUCAAAUAGAUGCGAGCCAAUUGAAUGAUGAAAAUUGCUGAAUGAUAUAGUGGGCGUAACAGCUGAGUAGCUAAAUUGCUAAACUAAUUAAAUUACAGUUCCGAAUGUCCCGAGUCAAAUAGUUAUAUGACUUUUUAACAGACAAAACAAAACAUCAUAUGGUAACUUGAUAAUUGAUAUUUUAAUUUUCAGUAAAACAUAUGAGUAACAAUACACGUAUGCCAUUUAAGCGAAAAAAUAAAAGGGAAAAAUAUUACAAGCUAACGCGAAAUUUAAAAAAAUAAUUGCCAAACGUUUACUAUUAAGCCCUGAUUUCCUUUGACCAAAGAUAUUUUAACAUAGUUUU
Molecule: non-coding RNA, 377 nt
Organism: Cinara cedri
Lineage: Eukaryota; Metazoa; Arthropoda; Insecta; Hemiptera; Aphididae
Source: the annotation of a GenBank genome assembly